UAUAUCCUGGCAGACAUACUGACACACACGUACACACACACAGACAUACCUACAUACACACACACAGACAUACUGGCAUACACACAGACAUACUGAAACACACACACACAGACAUACUAGCAUACACACAGACAUACUGACACACACACACACACACACAAACAUACUGGCAUACACACACAGACAUACUGACACACACACACACACACACAGACAUACUGGCAUACACACACAGACAUACUGACACACACACACACACACACACACAGACAUACUGGCAUACACACAGACAUACUGACACACACACACACACACACAGACAUACUGGCAUACACACACAGACAUACUGACACACACACAGACAUACUGGCAUACACACACAGACAUACUGACACACACACACACACACACACACUGACAUACUGACACACACACACACACACAGACAUACUGGCAUACAUUUAGCCACCCUCCAGGUUCUUACCUUUUCCUGGAGGGUGGUUUCCCUGGUCCAG
This is a non-coding RNA of Pelobates cultripes (western spadefoot toad), 515 nucleotides long. NCBI's taxonomy places the organism in Eukaryota, Metazoa, Chordata, Amphibia, Anura, Pelobatidae. The record is from the annotation of a GenBank genome assembly.